Molecule: long non-coding RNA, 519 nt
Filed under: Phoenix dactylifera (date palm)
Lineage: Eukaryota; Viridiplantae; Streptophyta; Magnoliopsida; Arecales; Arecaceae
Description: long non-coding RNA (PDAC_LNC011125)
Source: RNAcentral
CAGCUGCCAUGCAAGCAUGAAAUCCUGUGCCGUCCAUCAGGUCACCUACCAAAUCAGUCCCGCAUCAAGGCCCCGCGAUUAUUUCCUUCUCAACCAUCCAGCCAAUCAUCAACAUCCCAAAUAAAUCCAUUCCUCCCAGCCUCCUGCAGUGCAUCACGGUCGUCCAUCCUCUCCAGCUCCAAGCUUCCAGAUUCUCACAAGCAUCCCGCAAACCCAGCUCACCCCAUGCGCGCCCCAUUCCGUGCGAUCACGGGAGACCCCAUCCCACGCGCAUCUCCUUCCUUCCGCGACUGAUCCAGCAUCACGCGGCCGUGAUCAGCUCCUUCCUCUUCAGCGCGUCCCCAACUUCUUUCACAGCCGUGGCAUCCGUCCCAGCUCUCCCGUGCCAUGAAUGUCCCAGCCGGCACGUCCAAAGAAGGAAACCAUGGAUCAGCCCGUCUGCUUCGUCCACAUCUCCAGCCUCCGACGUCGCGUCCGUGAUCCACGCCUCCUCCCAGGCGCCCGUUCGAAGCAGCUUCU